Molecule: RNA transcript, 4249 nt
Organism: Glycine soja
Lineage: Eukaryota; Viridiplantae; Streptophyta; Magnoliopsida; Fabales; Fabaceae
Gene name: lysine-specific demethylase JMJ25-like
Exons: 14
Source: RefSeq, a predicted model, not a curated record
CUUCUUUUCACUACUUUUUCUUGGAUUCUUCCAACUUAUUAUUAAUUGAAUUCGGAAAACAUUUCCUCAAAUUUAACGUUGGCGCCUGAUUUGAAAACCUCCCUCUCACUCCAUAAUAAUCUUGGUACGUGUCGCUUGUGUGUCGUGUAACAGUAUAUAAUCAAGACUCAAGACAGAUACAACCAGCUAACUAAACUAGGGUUCACAAUUUGUUUUUGCCGAACCUUUUUCACCAUCAUUUUGGUCUUGUUUUUCUGCCAAUACAAACAAACAAAAACUUGAUUCUCUCUAUUCCAUGGCGCCCGGAAGGAAGAAGCGGCAAGGGAACACAUCCAUUAUUCCUGUGGAUGCAAACCCCACUCAGCAAAAAGCACAAUCUUUGGAUAUUGAUGCUGAGUGUGAGAGUGAGACCAAAAGAAUGAAAUUUGCUGAGGAAAAUGGUGAUGGGGCAGGGGGUUCUUCUUCUGUUGUGAAAAAGAAGCGUGGCAGAAAAAGUAAAAAGGAGAAGCAGGACACGGAAAAGAUGUUAGAGAGCAAUUUGUCGGAGAAGAAAGAUACUCAAGGCGAAUACCACGGUGAAAAUUGUGGAGUAGGAGGGUGUUCUUCUGUUCAAGAAAGUGCGAAAAAGAAACGUGGAAGAAAGAGUAAAAAGGAGAAGGAGGACAUGGAAAAGAAGAAGAUGGUAGAGGAGAAAGAUGCUCAAAACGAAAACCAUGGUGAAAAUGGUGGAGUAGGAGGUUCUUCUUGUGUUGUAGAUAGUGUGCCAAAGAAGCGUGGCAGAAAAAGUAAGAAGGAGAAGGAAGACGUGGAAAAGAAGAUGUUAGAGGAGAAAGAUGCUCAAAACGAAAACCAUGGUGAAAAUGGUGGAGUAGGAGGUUCUUCUUCUGUUGUAGAAGCUGUGGUAAAGAAGCGAGGUAGAAAGAGUAAAAAGGAGAAGGAAGACAUGGAAAAGAAGAUGUUAGAGGAGAAAGAUGCUCAAAACGAAAACCAUGGUGAAAAUGGUGGAGUAGGAGGUUCUUCUUCUGUUGUAGAUGGUGUGCCAAAGAAGCGUGGCAGAAAAAGUAAGAAGGAGAAGGAAGACAUGGAAAAAAAGAUGUUAGAGGGAAAUUUGCUGGAGAAGAAAGAUGUUCAAGACGUUAACCAUGCCGAAAAUGGUGGGGUACCUGAUAUGAGGCGUGGAAGUAAAAGAAAGAUGCUUAAGGAAGAUGAUGGUGAGUUUGAAAUGCCUGUGGAUUCUUCAGGAAGUAGCAUUCAGAAACAAUAUAGUCUUAGGGCCCCUAGAGUCAAUAUAGAAGAGGCAAUGCCAAAAAUCAACAAGAGAGAUCCUAAGCAGUGGAUUGAAGAGGAGUCCUUAAUGUGUCAUCAAUGUCAGAGAAAUGAUAAAGGCAGGGUUGUGAGGUGCACACGUUGUAAGAGGAAAAGAUUUUGUGUACUCUGUAUAGAAAAUUGGUAUCCUCAUUUGAAAGAGGAUUAUAUUGCUGAGGCAUGCCCUGUGUGCCGUGGUAAUUGCAACUGCAAAGCAUGCUUGAGAUCCAAUCAACUUAUUAAAAAAAUGAAGAAAAAAGAAGAAACCAAUGAAAAUGAGAAGAUUGAACUCUCUAUGCAUUUGUUGCAAGUACUUCUUCCGUAUUUAAGGCUGUUGGAUGAAGAACAGAUGAUUGAGAAUGAGACAGAAGCCAAGAUACGGGGGCUCUCAGUCUCAGAGCUAAAUGUAGCACAGGCAAAUUUUGAUAAAGAUGAGCGUGUGUACUGUGACAACUGCAAAACGUCAAUAUUUGAUUACCACAGAAGCUGUACAAAAUGCUCUUUCGACCUUUGUCUCAUCUGUUGUCGCGAGCUUCGAACUGGCCAGCUUGUAGGUGGUGCAGAUCCAAUUAUGUUGGAGUUUGUCUGUCAAGGUCGUGAUUACCUGCAUGGUGAGGAAAAUAUAAGUGUAAAACAAAAUGAACCAAAUGCUGUUGAACAAAAUGAACCAAAUGCUGUUGAACGAAAUGAACCAAAUGCUGUUGCUGAGACUGUAGUUCGUGAGUGGUCAAGAUCUGGGUGGCAUGCAGAAAGUAAUGGUAGCAUUCCUUGUCCAAAAGUCAAUGAUGAAUGUAACCAUGGUUUUCUUGAACUGAGAAGCAUAUUAGGUCAACAUUUUAUCACUGAUUUAGUGCAUAAAGCAAACGAACUAGCACAAGCAUACAAGCUUCAAGAUGUAGUUAAGACCCCUGACAACUUCUGUUCGUGUUUGAGGCUUGAUAGAAACACAGAUGUUAGAUAUAAUAAUAUGAGGAAGGUUGCUUCUCGUGCAGAUUCCAGGGACAACUAUUUAUACUGUCCUAGGGCUGUAGAUCUACAGGAUGAGGAUUUAAGGCAUUUUCAGUGGCAUUGGGAAAAGGGGGAGCCUGUCAUUGUCAGCAACGUGCUUGCAAAAACAUCUGGUUUAAGCUGGGAACCACUUGUCAUGUGGCGUGCAUUCCGUCAGAUGACUAAGACCAAGCAUGAACAACAUUUGGAUGUGAAGGCAAUUGAUUGCUUAGAUUGGUGCGAGGGAGAAAUUAAUAUCCACCAAUUCUUUACUGGGUAUACAAAAGUUCGUGAGGAUUGGCAUAGUUGGCCUCAAAUAUUGAAAUUAAAAGAUUGGCCUCCUUCUAAUUUAUUUGAGGAACGCUUGCCUCGACAUUGUGCAGAGUUCAUAUCUUCCUUGCCCUUCAAGGAAUAUACUGAUCCUCUCAAAGGUUCUCUUAACUUAGCUGUGAAGUUGCCAACAGAUUGUCUAAAACCAGACAUGGGGCCAAAGACGUAUAUUGCUUACGGAUUUCAUCAGGAGCUCGGGCGUGGUGAUUCAGUGACUAAGCUCCAUUGUGAUAUGUCUGAUGCAGUAAAUGUGUUGACUCAUAUUGCUGAAGUGAAAUUGGAACCAAAGCAUCUCAUUGCCAUUGAGAAGUUGAAACAAAAGCACUUUGAACAAGACAAAAGGGAGCUACUUGGUGAUGAUCAAAAUAGAGAAACUAGUGUUGACAUGCUUAAUAAUUUGUCUUCUACUAUAAAUGCUUUGGACAAGCAAAAUAGUGUCCAAGUCAUGGAACACAAAGGCAAAUUAUAUGAUAGGAAAGAAGUUGAUCAGUUCCAUCAACCCUCUGGUGGUAAUGAGAUUGCCAUUGCUAAUGAGGAUGGUCUUUCAUGUGAAUCAGAGCAUAAAGAGGUUGACAAAGUAAAAAUAAAGCAAGAAAGUGAUAUGUUGUCUGGGGGGGAUGGUUCAGAAGGUGCUCUCUGGGAUAUUUUUCGGAGGCAGGAUGUACCUAAAUUGCAGGAAUAUCAGAGGAAGCAUUUCAGAGAGUUCAGGCAUCUCCAUUGCUGUCCUUUAAAGCAGGUUAUUCACCCCAUCCAUGACCAGACCUUCUAUCUGACUGUGGAGCAUAAGAGGAAGCUUAAGGAGGAGUAUGGAAUUGAGCCCUGGACUUUUAUUCAGAAGGUAGGAGAUGCUGUUUUUGUUCCAGCUGGUUGUCCUCACCAAGUCAGAAAUCUGAAGUCAUGUAUUAAGGUUGCAUUGGAUUUUGUCUCUCCGGAAAAUGUUGGGGAGUGCUUUCGUUUGACAGAGGAAUUUCGCACACUUCCAAUAAACCACAUGUCUUGUGAGGACAAAUUGGAGGUCAAACCGAGCAAGGAUAUGUACUAAGCAAUGCUAUAACUAAAAAGAGUUUGGUCCUAUUGCAAAAGAUAGUCCAUAGAAGUUUUGCAACUAUUGCAAGCAGCAACAACAUCUCAUAUCAACUUGCCCUAUUGGGUCAAAGAAGUAAGGAACUGCCAUACUUCUAAUGAUGCUCCUAUUUCUACCUCAACACUUGUCCCAAUCUCAAGUCCUACAAACACAAAUGCUCUCACUCCUAAAAGGGUACAACAAAUGAUACUCUUAGCGGUUAUCACUUUUUGCUUUUGAACAUCUCAAGGUGAAGAAGAUGACAAUAUAUGCUAUGCAAGACGUGAUUGAAAAAUUGGAGGAAGCAAGGUCCGGGAAAACCAAGGUUUCAGAGUAAAUAUUAUCUGUAACAGAUCAUAGCCAAUUGGAAUUGUAAAUUUUUUGAGCAAUUAGCUUAUUUCAGGUGUGAUGAUGUUGGGUUCUAUGUAUUGUGACUGUAAGAAUGGUUCUAUAUUUUUGUUUUGCAACCACACCUGGAAGGGUAUACAUGUAAUUGCCACGUAGUUUACUUUUUUUGAGCUUCUGAAUAGAGGUGUUGACAAUCGAAUUAAACCAAGCAUAAAA